AGUCGAACGGCAGCGCAGACUUCGGUCUGGUGGCGAAAGUGGCGAACGUGGGUGAGUAAUGUAUCGGAACGUGCCUAAUGGCGGGAGAUAACUGCGCGCGGCGUGCUGUCCCACCGCAUACGCCCUUCGGAGAAAGCAGGGGACCUUCGGGCCUCCCGCACUAAUGCAAACGGCCGAUAUCCGGAUUAGCAGCAUAGUUGGUGGGGUAACGGCUCACCGAGGCGACGAUCCGUAGCCGGUUUGAGAGGACGACCAGCCACACUGGGACUGAGACACGGCCCAGACUCCUACGGGAGGCAGCAGUGGGGAAUUUUGGACAAUAGGGAAACCCUGGUCCGGCCAUCCGCGUGUGCGACAGAAGGCCUUCAGGUUGUAAAGCACUUUUGGCAGGAAAGAAACGGCACGGGAUAAUACCCGUGCAACUGACAGUGCAUGCAGAAUAAGCACCGGCUAACUACGUGCCGAGCUUAGCCUACGGUAAUACGUAAGUGCAAGCGUUAAUCAAGAUUACUGGGCGUAAAGCGUGCGCAAGGCGUUCGGAAGAAAGAUGUGAAAUCCCAGAGCUUAACUGGAACUGCAUUUUUAACUACCUGAGCCAGAGUGUCAGAGGGGAGGUGGAAUUCCGCGUGUAGCAGUGAAGAAGUGUCGUAGAUAUGCGGAGGAACACCGAUGGCGAAGGCAGCCUCUGGGAUAACAUGACGCUCAUGCACGAAAGCGUGUGGGAGCAAACAGGAUAGAUACCUGGUAGUCCACGCCCUAAACGAUGUCAACUAGCUGUUGGGGCCUUCGGGCCUUGGUAGCCCGCAGCUAACGCGUGAAGUUGACCGCCUGGGGAGUACGGUCGCAAAGAUUAAAACUCAAAGGAAUUGGCGGACCCGCACCAGCGGUGGAUGAUGUCGGAUGUAAUUCGAUGCAACGCGAAAAACCUUACCUACUUGACAUGUCUGGAAUCGAAGAGAUUUGGGAGUGCUCGCAAGAACCGGAACACCAGGUGCUGCAUGGCUGUCAUCAGCUCGUGUCGUGAGAUGUUGGGUUAAGUCCCGCAACGAGCGCAACCCUUGUCAUUAGUUGCUACGAAAGGGCACUCUAAUGAGACUGCCGGUGACAAACGGAGGAAAGGUGGGGAUGACGUCAAGUCCUCAUGGCCCUUAUGGGUAGGAGCUUCACACGUCAUACAAUGGUCGGGACAGAGGUCGCCAACCCGCGAGGAGCCAAUCCCAGAAACCCGAUCGUAGUCCGGAUCGCAGUCUGCAACUCGACUGCGUGAAGUCGGAAUCGCUGGUAAUCGCGGAUCAGCAUGUCGCGGUGAACCGUUCCCGGGUCUUACAUCACACACACCGCCCGUCACACCACGGGAGUCGGGUUUACCAAGAAGUGGUAGCCUAACCGUAAGGAGGGUGGCGAUUACCACGGUAGGAUUCAUGACUGGGGUGAAGUCGUAACAAGGUAA
This 1450-nucleotide ribosomal RNA is filed under the name uncultured Bordetella sp. RNAcentral's name for it is "partial 16S-23S ribosomal RNA intergenic spacer". It matches the Rfam family "Bacterial small subunit ribosomal RNA". The record is from RNAcentral. Lineage: Bacteria; Pseudomonadati; Pseudomonadota; Betaproteobacteria; Burkholderiales; Alcaligenaceae.